RNAcentral lists this long non-coding RNA (857 nucleotides) under Helianthus annuus (common sunflower). Its description in RNAcentral is "hypothetical non coding rna". Lineage: Eukaryota; Viridiplantae; Streptophyta; Magnoliopsida; Asterales; Asteraceae. The record is from RNAcentral.
UAAUACAUAAAUCAAAUCUAAGUUGGUCAAAAGAGUUUAACCUAACAAAUAACAACUUAUAUUAUGAAUGAAAGGAAUUAAAACAUGCUACUUAUUUUAAGUAUACUAUUGUUAUUAAGUAGCUUCAGCAUCGAGAAGGGUUUGAUCUAUAGCGUUGAGCCUGUGGACACACUACUUUUCCUGACGAUGUCGUCGGGAUAGGCCGUCGAAAAAAGUCGACUUGUCAGACAAAAUUUCUUGUAGUGUCAUUCAUGGACCCUCACCUCUACUAUCUAGCUAUCAUCUUACUAUAUUAGUCAAAUAUAGCUAGCAGUUAUAUUUCAAACAUAUUAAUUUUUCGUGUCGGCAUUAUAGAUGAAUUUUGUUUUUCAAAAAAUGUUAACAAGAAAUCAUUUAAGCUCCGUCGGUAGUGGGGUCCAUGCCAUCUUUAACCAAUCACACCUUUUUUUUUAAGUUUAUCACUUCACCAAGUGUCUAACCAUUGCUAACGCUUUUCAACAUAGUUUAAACACUUAUGACUGAAUAACGUGGCACACUCUCAUUGGUUAAGUUUGAAGUUUAUCACUUUCAAGUGUCUAACCACUCCCUACACGCUAAUGUAUACUAUAUUGCAUUGUGGCAAGUGGCAUUGUGGAGCCCACAAGAACUGCUAAAUGUAUACUAUAGCACGGAUGGGACUAGUCAAAGAGUUGGAAAGGGUUGUACGCGACAGUGAGAUGCCUCAACAAAUUAAAUAUUGAGAUGAGACUUCACCUUUAGAUAUAUGUGCAAAAACAAAUUAAAUAUUGUAAAAUUUGGACAAAAAAUGUAAAAUUUGAACUUAAACGUAGACCAGUCACCAUUCAAAAAUACGCCCA